This 1153-nucleotide long non-coding RNA is filed under the name Homo sapiens (human). Its description in RNAcentral is "HSALNT0301800". Lineage: Eukaryota; Metazoa; Chordata; Mammalia; Primates; Hominidae. The record is from RNAcentral.
CCCUCUUUCUACAGUGCUUAAUAUCUGAAAGCCAAUUAAUAUGCCUGACCUUGAAAAGUCACGUCUAUCAACCCUAAGGUCCAAGACAUUGUGGAACAGAGACAAGCCAUUUCUACUGUGUCCUUAUUGAAUACCUGGCCCACAGUAUCCCUGACCAUAACAAAAUGCUACCCAUCAAAUAAGAGAACCCAUUGCAGAACCAGAAGGGACAUCAUCCAAGCUGUCUGAAAUCCCGGUUGGUACUCCAGGCUUCAACAACUGCAGCACAAUGAGAGACAGCAAAGAACAUCCUGGCCUUUGACAACCCCCUGUCUUCUAACAUACUGAGGUUAAUCAGACCGAGGACAAUUUGGAAGGGGCUCUCUGCCACAACUUGGGGAGUGGAGGUAGGGAAGGCCAUAGGAGCCCCAGCAGGUAGGCCACAUAGCCUGAGUUAUGGAAUCUAACUCCAGUCUGUCUUCCAAAUAUUUCUGGGGUGUCAGAUCUAUGGUAGCCUGAGAGGCAUAUUCUGAAGCCAUUUCCCUCCUAGAGAUCUCGGACUUCUUUCAGCUUCUUGAUGUUAUUACACUAAGAGAAUAUGAACACCUCCUUACAGCAAAUGCUGUAGUUAUAAAACAGUUCACCAAAGAACCUAUGUUUCCUUGAAAACCAAAAGACAAUGCAAAAAGAAAAAUCAUUUUAAAAAAGAUCUUCAAAAAAGGCUUGAUAAUUGCAUAAUUUAAAGGACCCCAGGGAAGUCUCAAUGCUACAUAGGUCCUGGGAGAAGGCACCUGAACUACAUGCCUUGGUGAACUGCAUUUCUUUUAGCUUCUCUGCUUGGAAUCAUGAGGUCCCUAGCGUAUGCUGAAUUUUGAAGGCUGAUGAGCGUUUUGGGCUCUUCCCUGCUGACAUCACCCUAUUUCCUUGGGGACCCCAGGCUCUCAGCUGUAGAAGACUCUCAGACAGACACACAUUGCCCAAACAUGCUACCCUGCACACGUGCUAAACUCUGAGGCUCCUGUGGAGUUGUGUGUCGUACUCCUCAGCUCCAGACCACUGUGUCCUGCCCUGGCCUCCACCCAGCCCUGAUGGAGGCCCCAACAUAUGUGCCUCAACCCACACAGGCCCCAGAGUUUGGCAAAGUGUCCCACACGCAAUAACUUUUGAGUCAGUG